GAUGAAGAACGCAGCGAAAUGCGAUAAGUAGUGUGAAUUGCAGAAUUCAGUGAAUCAUCGAAUCUUUGAACGCACAUUGCGCCUCCUGGUAUUCCGGGAGGCAUGCCUGUUCGAGCGUCAUCAAAAACCUCAACCCAUGAUUUAUUGUGGGUUGGUUCUGCAUUGGACUCCUUGUGGGUCCUUUGCGAAAUCCAAUGGCGAAGAGCCACGCAACCAAAGCGUAGUAUAACUAUUUCGUUAUGGAAGCGUGGGUGCCUCUGCCGUAACCCCCAAUUUCUUAGUUUUUGACCUCGGAUCAGGUAGGGAUACCCGCUGAACUUAAGCAUAUCAAUAAGCGGAGGA
Molecule: unclassified non-coding RNA, 342 nt
Filed under: soil metagenome
Description: partial contains 5.8S ribosomal RNA, internal transcribed spacer 2, and large subunit ribosomal RNA
Rfam family: 5.8S ribosomal RNA (bases 1-120)
Source: RNAcentral